UACGUAGGGUGCAAGCGUUAAUCGGAAUUACUGGGCGUAAAGCGUGCGCAGGCGGCUUUGCAAGACAGAUGUGAAAUCCCCGGGCUUAACCUGGGAACUGCAUUUGUGACUGCAUGGCUAGAGUGCGGCAGAGGGGGAUGGAAUUCCGCGUGUAGCAGUGAAAUGCGUAGAUAUGCGGAGGAACACCGAUGGCGAAGGCAGCUCGCUGGGACGGUACUGACGCUGAGGCGCGAAAGCGUGGGGAGCGAACAGG
Molecule: ribosomal RNA, 253 nt
Filed under: uncultured bacterium
Lineage: Bacteria
Description: partial 16S ribosomal RNA
Rfam family: Bacterial small subunit ribosomal RNA
Source: RNAcentral